UGAAUGGGGCAACCCAACUGAUACUUUGUUAUUGUUACACUUUUGUGUAAUCAAUAAUGGGGUAAAACAGUUAUUAAUUACCUGAAUACAUAGGGUUUUUAAAGCAAACCUGGGGAACUGAAACAUCUAAGUACCCAGAGGAAAGGAAAUCAAUAGAUACUCCCGUAGUAGUGGCGAGCGAACCGGGACCAGCCGAGCGAUGAAUGUGACUAGAACCAGUUGGAAAGCUGGGCAAUAUGGGUGACAGCCCCGUAUAGGAAGCAUGAUUUGACGUAUUAAGUAGGGCGGAACACGUGAAAUUCUGUGGAACA
RNAcentral lists this ribosomal RNA (311 nucleotides) under uncultured bacterium. RNAcentral describes it as "bacterial LSU rRNA". It matches the Rfam family "Bacterial large subunit ribosomal RNA", at positions 115 to 444 of the family's 2925-position model. The record is from RNAcentral.